GACGAACCGUGCGAACGUUGUUCGGAAUCACUGGGCUUAAAGGGCGCGUAGGCGGCUUGUCAAGUCAGGGGUGAAAUCUUUCGGCUCAACCGGAAAAGUGCCUUUGAUACUGACAGGCUUGAGGGAGGUAGGGGUAUGUGGAACUUCUGGUGGAGCGGUGAAAUGCGUUGAUAUCAGAAGGAACGCCGGUGGCGAAAGCGACGUACUGGACCUCUUCUGACGCUGAGGCGCGAAAGCUAGGGGAGCAAACGGG
Molecule: ribosomal RNA, 253 nt
Filed under: uncultured bacterium
Lineage: Bacteria
Description: partial 16S ribosomal RNA
Rfam family: Bacterial small subunit ribosomal RNA
Source: RNAcentral